GAAAUGGUGCACACUCAGAGAAGCCGUCACCAGAGGACCCGUCACCAAGGGACCCGUCACCAGGGGAAGCAGAGCAGCCUCACUCCUCCGCCAUUUCCCUCUGGCAGAAGGGAAGGAACCCAGCCUGAGAAUCAAGGUGACCCACCAACAGGUACCUUCAGAAUCCAUUUAACUCCUUCCUUCUUGCACCUCCAGGAGCAGCUACAGAGUGCAAAAGGUAGUUAAGAGACAUCCAGUGGGAUUCCAGCUUGUGCUACUUAGAGCCGCUCUAGAGCAUAGACUCUGGGUCUAGGCUCAGAGUGUGGGUGUGGGUGUGGGGGCCUGGCCAGGGUCCUCGGGGACACGGAGGCCACACCCCGGCUCCUACUGCCUCCAUUGGAGAACACCCGGAAGUCCUGGCUGCUGGCCACCAUUCUGUGUUGAAAUGGAGUUUGAAAAAUGCUCAGCUUGCUGCAGUUCCAAUUCUUGUGUUACAACUGUUGCUUCAGAAAUGGGGUGAGUGUCCUUUCCUGCCCCCCUUAGUCCCCUCCCUCACCACCCCUGCUAUCAACCUACAGCCCUCCUACCUGCUCAAACCCUAAAGCCAUCAAUUCAUUUGAUGGACCCCCAAGAGCCCAUUGGUUCUCUCCCGGCGGUAGUAGAUACAUUACCUCUUUCUCUCGUUUAUUCUUACAUAUAUCCUGCCUACAGAGCUCUCUCUGCAGUGACCUGCUCUGUUGUCACUGGUGUGUUGGUGCUCCAGACCCUGCAAGUAUUUCAAAACUAAUUCUUAGGAGAUGCUUCCCUGUAGCCUGAAGGUAAAGGAAACCGUGUGGGAUUCAUCCAACGGAUGUGCCAUCAAUAGCAGGUUCCUGCCUCCUGUCUAAUGGAGUCCCGCUAUGUGUAGAAGACGUGGCGUUGCUUAGUGGCCUGUGGGGGGGGGGGCACUCUAACCACCCCAAGUCCUUUAAUAUAAGGCUGGGGAGCGAGCCUUGCCCACAGCCUAGGUGAAGCCCAGAGGCUAAGAAAAAGCUGAGAGUUCUUGUGCCUUGGGACAUCCCCUCAAGGAUAUGUCCCAGAAGGAGACAGAGCCAGGGCACUAUUGCUCAGCGUUCGCUUUCACCAGGUCAGUCUGCAGCUAUGCGCUUCCCAUCCCUUUCCUUCCCACAGCUUUGGAUAAAACCUCACUCUAUCAAGAACCAACCAGGAGCUGUAGGUGGCCUGUCAAUCCUGCAGCUGUGGGCUGCAGCAUGCCCGCCCAGUACCUCUCAGCCUCCAUGAGAGCCACCCUGACCCCGGGAGGUCAGCCUUCAAGAACCAUGACUGUUUGGCUAUUCUGGAUCCCAUGAGGCUCGACACAGCUGGAGUUCUGCUGGUCUGUAAGCAGCUGGGCUGGACCACUGGCAACUUUUCAGAACCUCUUUAAAUUCUUCCAGUGUCCUUUGAUGGCUUUAAAAUACACUUUACAUGUCUUUUGCUAACUUUGCUCCUUGAUGCUUUAUGGAUUUAGGGCGCUAUUAUAAGCGGGCUUUUUCUCUUGACAUUUUUCCCCCUGUGGAGGAUUUUCUGUUGCCAGUGUGCAGACACACAUUGGCUCUGGGAUACUGAGCUUGUGUCCUGCGAUCUAGCAGAACUCAUUAGCUCUGACUGUUUUCUAGUGGGUUCCUUGAGCCUUUUUUUUUUUUUUAAUUGAAGGCCUGGCAUUUACAAAAAGAGAUAGUUUCAUUUCUUGGUUCACAGUGCAGAGGUCUUUUAUGUUCUUUUCCUUGCCUAACUAGCCUUCCGGUUUAGUGGUGAAUGAAAGGAAUGAAAAAGACAUUCGUGCCUUGUUCCUGACCUCAUGGAAGUAUCCAGCCACGCAUAAAUAUCAUUUUCUAAGCUGAGGAAGUUCUUUCCAAAGGGGUAUGGAUUUGUAUCUUGGGUACACAAAGAACUCCCAGCACAAGAGUCAUAAGCAAUUCUAUUACCGGAGAUGGAGAAAUCCAAAUAAACGCCACUGCAAUGGAGAUAAACUCCUAGUGAAGUCAAAGAGACCUGAAUCCUCAGCCACUGGAAGCCCGAGUAUGAAUCACAAGUCCCUCUUUCUCACCCAGCGAGGCUGCCAGCAACACAAGGCAGAUAGACGGCAGAGAGCUGGGAAGAUGGCUCAAUGCAAGGCAGCAAACCAAGACUCAUCCACUACCGACCGGCGUAAAUGUGGUCCAUCAGUGACAUACUCUACAGCCACAAAAAGGGAUGGAGCGCUGGCAUGUGUUAUGCUGGGGAUUGAAAGACAAUUUAGACUCCCCAGAGACAUCCUGCUGAGUGAAAGGAGCCCACACGAUAUGACUCGUUCGCACGGAACACCCAGAAUUGGCAAACCUGUAGCAGAAAGCCAAAAACAGUGUGCAGGGCAGGGGAGGGCUUGGGGAAUGGGCUGAAAGCCAAGCAGUUUAAGGAGAUGUUCUGAAGUUGAUGGUAUUAUCUUGGAAUUCACCAAAAACAAUGAAUUAUAUCUGUAAAUGAGUGGGUUGCAGGCUUGUGAAUUAUGUCAAUAAAGCUGUAAAAGGAAAAGAAAACACCCACAUCACAUUUCCAAACCCCAAGAUCCUCAAUCUGCAUGUAUUUGAUCUUUAACAAGGUAGAAUUUUUUUUUUCAAGGAUCUCAUAAAAUGUUUCCUUUGGAA
This is a long non-coding RNA of Psammomys obesus (fat sand rat), 2645 nucleotides long. RefSeq lists it as uncharacterized. Lineage: Eukaryota; Metazoa; Chordata; Mammalia; Rodentia; Muridae. The transcript has 3 exons. The record is from RefSeq and is a predicted model, not a curated record.